Molecule: non-coding RNA, 26 nt
Filed under: Rattus norvegicus (Norway rat)
Lineage: Eukaryota; Metazoa; Chordata; Mammalia; Rodentia; Muridae
Source: RNAcentral
UGAUUCUAUUUGUGCACACGGGCUUA